CUAGAGCACGGUGUGCGGUGUACGAGCACGCUCUAAACACACACUCACGCCGUACCUUAGGCCAGCAGCAGCAGCAGCAGUGGCAGUAGCAGCUUGCGCCGAUCCCUACACCGGGAGAGCCCGUUUGUUGAACAACAACUGUGCGAUUCGCAGCACGCACCACCUCUGCACGGAGCCGAAGCCGUCGUCGUCAUCGUCUUUGCCGUUUUUACCCGCGCCGCCAAUCAUCGUCGUCAGCCGGGACGGCGCGAGUUCAGCUUCAUUUCGAUGUAACUUUCCGACUUUCAUGGACGUGCGUGUCGUCGUCGUUGUCGUUCCGGUACCGGUGUGCUUUGCGGGAAGCUGCAGUGUUUAGUGUCCCAAAAUUGGUGGUGUGCAGCGCGUUUCUAGUUUUUGUUUUUUACUUUCGUUCAGUUUAGUUCCCAAAACAUUUGGCCAUAUUUUGGCCCUCGCCCGGAAAAAAGGCAGCGCAGUUUUUUUGUUUCGCCCUCUGUUUUGGGUAGCAGUUUUUCGUCAUUUUUUGUUUUUUGGUUUUGAUUUUGAUUUUCACCCGCGUGUGCUGUGUGUGAGUGGUCGUGAACGGUGUGAAGAGUGAUUUUUUUUGUUGCUUUCGCCCAUCGGAGCAUACCUUUUGCUGCAUUUAAGGGCCAUUUCUGUCAAUCGAUCGAAGCACUCGACGUUUUAUGAAGAGACGCCACGCCGAACAUCAUCGACACACCCGCGCUGGCAAAUAGACCAAAAAAAGAAACAUUCGUUUUGAAAAAGAAGAAGCAGAAGAAAAACGUCCCCCUCCUCACUACACUCCGCCGGAAAGUAGUGAGACGUACGUUGUGUUUGUGUGUGUGUCUACGUAUGUGACAAGUUAGUGACAAGAGGUAAAAAAAACCCCCCGUUGUGCCGCGGAAAGAAAGUUUGAUGCGCCGAAGACAAAUCACGUAGCAAAGGUGCAACAACCACAG
This is a long non-coding RNA of Anopheles arabiensis, 959 nucleotides long. RefSeq lists it as uncharacterized. The record is from RefSeq and is a predicted model, not a curated record. NCBI's taxonomy places the organism in Eukaryota, Metazoa, Arthropoda, Insecta, Diptera, Culicidae. The transcript has 2 exons.